UAAUACAGAGGGUGCAAGCGUUGUUCGGAAUUAUUGGGCGUAAAGCGCGUGUAGGCGGCUUUGCAAGUCGGGUGUGAAAGCCCUCAGCUCAACUGAGGAAGUGCGCCCGAAACUGCAGAGCUUGAGUGCCGGAGAGGGUGGCGGAAUUCCCCAAGUAGAGGUGAAAUUCGUAGAUAUGGGGAGGAACACCGGUGGCGAAGGCGGCCACCUGGACGGUAACUGACGCUGAGACGCGAAAGCGUGGGUAGCAAACAGGAUUAGAUACCCUGGUAGUCCACGCCGUAAACGAUGAGAACUAGGUGUCGUGGGAGUUGACCCCCGCGGUGCCGAAGCUAACGCAUUAAGUUCUCCGCCUGGGAAGUACGGUCGCAAGACUA
RNAcentral lists this ribosomal RNA (377 nucleotides) under uncultured bacterium. RNAcentral describes it as "bacterial SSU rRNA". It matches the Rfam family "Bacterial small subunit ribosomal RNA", at positions 521 to 896 of the family's 1533-position model. The record is from RNAcentral.